RNAcentral lists this ribosomal RNA (301 nucleotides) under uncultured bacterium. RNAcentral describes it as "partial 16S ribosomal RNA". It matches the Rfam family "Bacterial small subunit ribosomal RNA", at positions 509 to 807 of the family's 1533-position model. The record is from RNAcentral.
CAGUAGCCGCGGGAAUACGUAGGUGGCAAGCGUUGUCCGGAAUUAUUGGGCGUAAAGGGCUCGCAGGCGGUUUCUUAAGUCCGAUGUGAAAGCUCCCGGCUCAACCGGGGAGGGUCAUUGGAAACUGGGAAACUUGAGUGCAGAAGAGGAGAGUGGAAUUCCACGCGUAGCGGUGAAAUGCGUAGAGAUGUGGAGGAACACCAGUGGCGAAGGCGACUCUCUGGACUGUAACUGACGCUGAGGAGCGAAAGCGUGGGGAGCGAACAGGAUUAGAUACCCCCGUAGUCCCUGUCUCUUAUAC